GAUGAACGCUGGCGGCGUGCCUAAUACAUGCAAGUCGAGCGAACGGACGAGAAGCUUGCUUCUCUGAUGUUAGCGGCGGACGGGUGAGUAACACGUGGAUAACCUACCUAUAAGACUGGGAUAACUUCGGGAAACCGUAGCUAAUACCGGAUAAUAUUUUGAACCGCAUGGUUCAAAAGUGAAAGACGGUCUUGCUGUCACUUAUAGAUGGAUCCGCGCUGCAUUAGCUAGUUGGUAAGGUAAUGGCUUACCAAGGCAACGAUGCAUAGCCGACCUGAGAGGGUGAUCGGCCGCAAUGGAACUGAGACACGGUCCCGACGCCUACGGGAGGCAGCAGUAGGGAGUCUUCCGCCAUGGGCGAAAGAAUGACGGAGCAACGCCGCGUGAGUGAUGAAGGUCUUCGGAUCGUAAAACUCUGUUAUUAGGGAAGAACAUAUGUGUAAGUAACUGUGCACAUCUUGACGGUACCUAAUCAGAAAGCCACGGCUAACUACGUG
This 497-nucleotide ribosomal RNA is filed under the name uncultured bacterium. RNAcentral describes it as "partial 16S ribosomal RNA". It matches the Rfam family "Bacterial small subunit ribosomal RNA", at positions 28 to 507 of the family's 1533-position model. The record is from RNAcentral.